Molecule: transfer RNA, 75 nt
Filed under: Chloroflexota bacterium
Lineage: Bacteria; Bacillati; Chloroflexota
Also listed under: 1 other name
Description: Chloroflexi bacterium (cold seep metagenome) tRNA-Pro
Rfam family: tRNA
About the family: Transfer RNA (tRNA) molecules are approximately 80 nucleotides in length. Their secondary structure includes four short double-helical elements and three loops (D, anti-codon, and T loops).
Source: RNAcentral
CGGGGCGUAGCGCAGCUCGGCUAGCGCGCGCGGAUCGGGACCGCGAGGUCCGGGGUUCAAAUCCCCGCGCCCCGA